ACAGAACAGAUAUAAUUCAUUAACACUACAUUAGACUUUUACAAUAUUACAAUUUACACUUGGCUUCACACUUCAGAACCAAAAACUCUUUGCUAAGUACUGCUUCACACUUGGCUUCACAUCUUUCACACUUGGCUUCACAGCUUCACACUCCAAAAAAAUAGGCCUGGAGCUCCUGUAAAAGAAUGAACAUAAAGGCCACCAAAAUUUGAGUGUACUGCUGCUGAGGCUAGAACCAAACAACUUCAAUAUUACAAUAAAAAGAAUUCUCAGGUUUAUCAAGCACAGCAAAGCAGCAGUGUGGCCAUCAGUCAGAUCUGAAUAUACAACAAAAGAGGUCUCAGGUUUAGACUGAAAAGGAAGAGCUAGUUAUGCAUGAUGUCUCAGGUUUAAACAAAAGAUCAAGACCACAAUUUUAACAAGAGAUAUAUAGUCAGUCCAAUUGAACAAAACCUAGACAGUUGCAUUAUGAGUAUUUAAGUGGAGAUGUAGCAGGCAAUCAAAUGAAUAUAUUCUGGAGAUGAUGAAUAAAAUUAGGCAAUCAACAGCUUAAGCAUCACAAGAAUGAGAAGAACAAGAAUGUGUUAGCAGCACAAGAAUUAGUAGCACAUACAUGUCUGCAUGAUCCAACAAGAAUGAUUAUAUUCAAUUUUGUUAGCAGCACAAGAAUGAGCAAUAGCAGCACAAGCAGCACCACCACCAGCACAAGUGCACACCUAUUCAAGCAAGCAGCUAGCAGUAGAAGCAUUCAAACAGCAGCAGCACUGUCACAUGUCAUAUCUUAUAAACUUAGGCAUGUGUUCUCAGGUUAUCCUUAACAUCACGCACUAACUUGGGUAAUUAGCAGCAAACAAUACAUAUCAGUACAAGGCUAGGCAAGAUAAUAAAGACUUGGGAAAAGAUAGCAGAUUUAAAAAAAUGAUACAUGCCCUUGAAGAGAGGGCAGUGGCAAGCGUGACCAUGAACAUAUGCAUUAGCCGCACCCACGACCCCUGGAUGCUCUCACGACUGAAAAGGAGGUUCCUUGCAUAUGGUCUCCUUCGGGUCUGCGAGAGAAAGAACGAGGUGAGGGCCAGAUCAGCUUAAGCAUACAAGCACACUAUAGCCUACAAACGUAUCAGUAUACAGGCAGCAAUAGUAUCCUCGAGCACAGCAAAACAGUAGCUUGACCCAUAUAAGUCAUAACUCUGAAGAAAGAAAGAAAGAACAGGUUCAGCUAGCUAAGUAUUCAGAGUUGAGAGCUAAGUAAUUUGUUUGUUUAUGCUGUAACUGACAGACCUAGUAUGAGAAACAAGCAAAGUAAAACAGUAUUGAUUCGAUGGCAAAACAAGCUAAGCUACUUAGCUAGUAGGUGACCAUCCAAUCCAUGAUGCAGCAGCAGGUGCAAAUAUAAUAUGAUGUGAAGAAGACGCUAGCUGGAGUGGUGGGGGAUGAAACCAAAAUUACAAAGCAUAGUCGGACGCUGGAACCAAAAAAACUAGAUGAAUCUCACUAACAGGAGCACUAGGUGAUUAAUGGAAGAAGUAAUCUGCAAAUUACAAAGUGAACAAGUGAAGGAUUUAUAUCUCUCUGUGUGGAACAACUAAGUUGAUGAAGACAUGCAGCAUCAACAGCGAAGCCUUGCAUCAUUUGUUUGGUCGGGUCGACGCUGGAAAGAGCGCCGCUGUACAUGAUCAGCACAUGAGUGGCUCAACCUCUCUAUCCCCUACCUCAACUUGCCCGUGUGGUUG
This 1730-nucleotide long non-coding RNA is filed under the name Triticum aestivum (bread wheat). RNAcentral's name for it is "long non-coding RNA (TAES_LNC026131)". Lineage: Eukaryota; Viridiplantae; Streptophyta; Magnoliopsida; Poales; Poaceae. The record is from RNAcentral.